This 916-nucleotide ribosomal RNA is filed under the name Trichodorus primitivus. RNAcentral describes it as "SSU rRNA". It matches the Rfam family "Eukaryotic small subunit ribosomal RNA", at positions 45 to 966 of the family's 1831-position model. The record is from RNAcentral. Lineage: Eukaryota; Metazoa; Nematoda; Enoplea; Triplonchida; Trichodoridae.
UAAGCCAUGCAUGUCUAUGCACACGCCCUUGAAUGGUGAAGCCGCGAAAAGCUCAUUACAACAGCCAUAGUUUAUUGGAUGUUUACGUUCCUACAAGGACACCUGCGGUAAUUCUGGAGCUAAUACUUGCGAAAUGCGACAACCUCACGGGAGUCGUGCAUUUAUUAGAUUAAACCAAUCGGUCCUUCGGGACCGCCAUUUGGUGAACUCUGAAUAACUUAGCUGAUCGCACAGUCUCGUACUGGCGACAAAUCUUUCAAGUGUCUGCCUUAUCAAUUUUCGAUGGUAGUUUAUACGACUACCAUGGUUGUAACGGGUAACGGAGAAUAAGGGUUCGACUCCGGAGAGGGAGCCUGAGAAACGGCUACCACAUCCAAGGAAGGCAGCAGGCGCGCAAAUUACCCACUCGCAGAACGCGGAGGUAGUGACGAAAAAUAACGAGGUGGCUCUCUAUGAGGUCCAUCAUCGGAAUGGGUACAAUUUAAAUCCUUUAACGAGGAUCUAUUGGAGGGCAAGUCUGGUGCCAGCAGCCGCGGUAAUUCCAGCUCCAAUAGCGUAUACUAAAGUUGUUGCGGUUAAAAAGCUCGUAGUUGGAUCUGCGCUCGGUGAAAGCGGUCGCCCGAUGGGUUGUUACUGCUUCUCCCGGGCUAACCAUUCGGUUUUCUCUUGAUGCUCUUAACUGAGUGUCCUGGGUGACCGGAACGUUUACUUUGAAAAAAUUAGAGUGCUCAAAGCAGGCGAUUUGCCAGAAUAUUCGUGCAUGGAAUAAUAAAAGAGGUCCUUGUAGCCUUUUAUUGGUUAUCGCUACGAGGAAAUGAUCGAAGGGGACAGACGGGGGCAUUUGUAUUGCGACGUUAGAGGUGAAAUUCUUGGAUCGUCGCAAGACAAACUACUGCGAAAGCAUUUGCCAAGAAUG